GUGUUGUUUAAUUGGUUUGUUAUGUGCAUAAAUAAUUUCUUAAAAUGGAUAAGUCAUUGGGGAUGUACUCAAUAAAAAUUCUGCGUAAUGCAAAUCGCAAAAGCAAAGUAUGGGAGUUUUUUGGCAUCUUGCAAGUGACAACGACAACCGAAAGCAAAUGCAUUGAAGAGGACAAGGUUUUUUGUAAAUUAUGUUUGGAUGAGCAGAAAAAGAACGACGAAACAAUAAUAUUGUCAUGUGCUAAAAUUCAGUCGUAUUCCAAGAACUGCUCAACAGGGAACUUAACUCGUCACCUUAAAAACGAACACAAUGUUCGCGAUAUCGAUUCUAGUACUUCAUUAGCUACAGGUGGAACGAUAUCAAAUUUUUUCAACAAAUCCACGCCAAUAAGGUCUCUAAGAGAUAGUAAAUGGGCGCUGGGACGAGAGCUAGCUUUGUGGAUGGCUAGAGAUCUGCUCCCAUUUCAUACAAUUAGCCACAAUGGAAUUAAAAACUUCUUAACCAAAUAUAAAGUUGUGGUAACUGCUGAUGAUAUUCCACAUUACAAAACACUUUCAACAACUGCACUAGACGAUGUGUAUGAAUGCGUUUUAAAAGCAGUUACACGGAUAGUAUCUGGACAAAAACACUUUGCCUUAACCUUUGAUUUGUGGACGGACAAUUAUAGAAGAAGAAGUUAUAUCACAUUUACAUUCCAUUAUCUGUCACCGAAUUUUGGUAUGAAGCAUUUCACGCUGGAAACAAAAUACUUGUCAAAAUCUCACUCCGCAAGUAAUAUUUUAACAGAGCUUCAAGAUGUAACUCAAAUUUAUAAUUUGCAAAUGGAAUCUAAUUUCGUCGUAACCGACCAAGGUAGCAAUAUCAAAAAAGCUAUUAAUUUGGAGUGUUUA
Molecule: long non-coding RNA, 890 nt
Organism: Drosophila obscura
Lineage: Eukaryota; Metazoa; Arthropoda; Insecta; Diptera; Drosophilidae
Exons: 3
Source: RefSeq, a predicted model, not a curated record